This 444-nucleotide ribosomal RNA is filed under the name Antiporus blakeii. RNAcentral's name for it is "partial 16S ribosomal RNA". It matches the Rfam family "Bacterial large subunit ribosomal RNA", at positions 1854 to 2561 of the family's 2925-position model. Lineage: Eukaryota; Metazoa; Arthropoda; Insecta; Coleoptera; Dytiscidae. The record is from RNAcentral.
GACCUGCCCGCUGAUAAUUGAAUGGCCGCAGUAAUUUGACUGUGCAAAGGUAGCAUAAUCAUUAGUUUUUUAAUUAAAAGCUUGUAUGAAUGGUUGGACGAAAUAAAUUCUGUCUCUUUUUAAUAAUUAGAAUUUAAUUUUUAAGUUAAAAAGCUUAAAUGGUGAUAAAAGACGAGAAGACCCCAUAGAUUUUUAUAAUUUUAUUUAUAUUUUUGAUUAGGAAUAUUUUAUUGAUUAUAGAUUUAAUUAUUAUAUUGGGGUAAUAGGAAGAUUAAUUUAAUUCUUUUUAAUUUUUUUCAAUAAUGUUUGAUUAUUUGAUCCUUUUUUAAAGAUUAUAAGAUUAAGUUACCUUGGGGAUAACAGCGUAAUUUUUUUAGAGAGUUCUUAUCGAUAAAAAAGUUUGCGACCUCGAUGUUGGAUUAAAAAUUAUUCUGGGUGUAGAAG